CGAUUUAAUCUGAAAGGUGAAAGUAUUCUACAUCAUCCUUCUAUCCGUAUUGAGUUCCACCAUUUCCAAACCUCUUAACAAGAACAAAGGCUCCAUCAAUGGUUCUGAGUUUUGAAACCAUCCUAUCAAUACAUAAGAACCAAUAUAAAUGAGGAUCCAAUGAGCUUUUAUUAGAUUUGUCAUGCACACACUUCAUACUAAAUAGAAAUGGAAGUACUGGAACAAAUGUUUUCAUGGCAUUGGUUUAGAGUUCUCACCUAUGUUGCUCUGAGUCUUCAUUUUUCUUCAACUAUCCAUGUUUGACAUAUAUCUGAACACAAAUACGAUGAUAUGAGUCUCUAAAUACAUGAACAACAAAACAUACCCAUAUAUACUAACACCUGACCGCAAGUAAAACUUAUUCUCACCCUUCUACACCAUCCUUCACAAUCUGCAUUGAAUUCCACCAUUUCCGAACCUCUUAACAAGAAAAAAGGCUCCAUCAAUGGUUUUGAGUUCUUGAAACCAUCCGAUCAAUACAUAAGAACCAAUGUAAAUGAGGAUCCAAUGAGCUUUUAUUAGAUUUGUCAUACACACGCUUCAUACUAAAUAGAAAUGGAAGUAUUGUAAGAGAUGUUUCAUAGCAUUGGGUUGGAGUUCUC
RNAcentral lists this long non-coding RNA (641 nucleotides) under Gossypium raimondii (Peruvian cotton). RNAcentral's name for it is "long non-coding RNA (GRAI_LNC006028)". The record is from RNAcentral. Lineage: Eukaryota; Viridiplantae; Streptophyta; Magnoliopsida; Malvales; Malvaceae.